RNAcentral lists this ribosomal RNA (400 nucleotides) under uncultured bacterium. RNAcentral describes it as "bacterial SSU rRNA". It matches the Rfam family "Bacterial small subunit ribosomal RNA", at positions 355 to 772 of the family's 1533-position model. The record is from RNAcentral.
UGGGGAAUAUUGGACAAUGGGCGCAAGCCUGAUCCAGCCAUGCCGCGUGAGUGAUGAAGGCCUUAGGGUUGUAAAGCUCUUUUGUCCGGGAAGAUAAUGACUGUACCGGAAGAAUAAGCCCCGGCUAACUUCGUGCCAGCAGCCGCGGUAAUACGAAGGGGGCUAGCGUUGCUCGGAAUCACUGGGCGUAAAGGGCGCGUAGGCGGACUUUUAAGUCGGAGGUGAAAGCCCAGGGCUCAACCCUGGAAUUGCCUUCGAUACUGGGAGUCUUGAGUUCGGAAGAGGUUGGUGGAACUGCGAGUGUAGAGGUGAAAUUCGUAGAUAUUCGCAAGAACACCGGUGGCGAAGGCGGCCAACUGGUCCGAAACUGACGCUGAGGCGCGAAAGCGUGGGGAGCAAA